CCAAUAGCGUAUAUUAAAGUUGUUGCAGUUAAAAAGCUCGUAGUUGAAUUUCGGGAUCAAUUAAUUGGUCGUGCCUAUGGUACGUACUGAUUUUAUUGGUUUCUCCCUUCUGACGAACCAUGAUGUCAUUAAUUUGGUGUCGUGGAGAAUCAGGACUGUUACUUUGAAAAAAUUAGAGUGUUUAAAGCAAGCUAACGCUUGAAUACAUUAGCAUGGAAUAAUGAAAUAGGACGUUUGAUCCUAUUUUGUUGGUUUCUAGGAUCGACGUAAUGAUUAAUAGGGAUAGUUGGGGGCAUUAGUAUUCAAUUGUCAGAGGUGAAAUUCUUGGAUUUAUUGAAGACUAACUACUGCGAAAGCAUUUGCCAAGGAUGUUUUCAUUAAUCAAGAACGAAAGUUAGGGGAUCGAAGACGAUCAGAUACCGUCGUAGUCUUAACCAUAAACUAUGCCGACUAGGGAUCGGAUGAUGUUAAUUUUUUAAUGACUCAUUCGGCGCCUUACG
RNAcentral lists this ribosomal RNA (500 nucleotides) under uncultured Glomeromycotina. Its description in RNAcentral is "partial small subunit ribosomal RNA". It matches the Rfam family "Eukaryotic small subunit ribosomal RNA", at positions 591 to 1092 of the family's 1831-position model. The record is from RNAcentral. Lineage: Eukaryota; Fungi; Glomeromycota.